AGCGAACGCUAGCGGCGGGCUUAACACAUGCAAGUCGAGCGGAGAGCUUCGGCUCUCAGCGGCGAACGGGUGAGUAACACGUAGGUAACGUGCCCUUUGAUGGGGAAUAACCUAGGGAAACCUGGGCUAAUACCGCAUAUGUCUUUCGGGAUGAAAGCCUUCGGGCGUCAGAGGAUCGGCCUGCGGCCCAUUAUUUAAUCCUAGUUGGUAGGGUAAUGGCCUACCAAGGGUACGAUGGGUAGCUGGUCUGAGAGGAUGAUCAGCCACACUGGAACUGAGACACGGUUCAGACUCCUACGGGAGGCAGCAGUGGGGAAUAUUGGACAAUGGGCGAAAGCCUGAUCCAGCCACGCCGCGUGGGUGAUGAAGGCCUUCGGGUUGUAAAGACCCUGUCGGGAGGGACGGAAGUCAAUGACGGUACCGUCCCAA
Molecule: ribosomal RNA, 429 nt
Filed under: uncultured bacterium
Lineage: Bacteria
Description: bacterial SSU rRNA
Rfam family: Bacterial small subunit ribosomal RNA
Source: RNAcentral